CGGCUCAGUAACACGUGGACAACCUACCCUUGGGAUGGGGAUAAACCCGGGAAACUGGGUAUAAUACCCGAUAGUCCUCGACUGCUGGAAUGCAUCGAGGUCGAAAGCUCCGGUGCCCAAGGAUGGGUCUGCGGCCUAUCAGGUAGUAGUGGGUGUAGCGUACCUACUAGCCUACGACGGGUACGGGUUGUGAGAGCAAGAGCCCGGAGAUGGAUUCUGAGACACGAAUCCAGGCCCUACGGGGUGCAGCAGGCGCGAAAACUUUACAAUGCUGGAAACAGCGAUAAGGGAACCUCGAGUGCCAGGUUACAAAUCUGGCUGUCGUGAUGCCUAAAAAGCAUUGCAUAGCAAGGGCCGGGCAAGACCGGUACCGGCCGCCGCGGUAACACCGGCGGCUCGAGUGGUAACCGUUAUUAUUGGGUCUAAAGGGUCUGUAGCCGGCCGGAUAAGUCUCUUGGGAAAUCUGGCAGCUUAACUGUCAGGCUUUCAGGAGAUACUGUCUGGCUCGAGGCCGGGAGAGGUGAGAGGUACUUCAGGGGUAGGGGUGAAAUCUUGUAAUCCUUGAAGGACCACCAGUGGCGAAGGCGUCUCACCAGAACGGACCUGACGGCAAGGGACGAAAGCUAGGGGCACGAACCGGAUUAGAUACCCGGGUAGUC
RNAcentral lists this ribosomal RNA (659 nucleotides) under uncultured Methanosaeta sp. RNAcentral's name for it is "bacterial SSU rRNA". It matches the Rfam family "Archaeal small subunit ribosomal RNA", at positions 83 to 746 of the family's 1478-position model. The record is from RNAcentral. Lineage: Archaea; Methanobacteriati; Methanobacteriota; Methanomicrobia; Methanotrichales; Methanotrichaceae.